AGGGAGUUCAGUCAUGGGUGGGGACAGCUCAGGCUCAAGUCCUGGAAGAUGAGGCUGUCUUCCCCAAGCAAAGUUCUUGGCAGCCAGGGCCUGGACAGACAAGGAGAUUCAGGGCCCCAGGACAAGUAGGGCCUGUCCUCACCUGUCUUCGAAUCCGUUCUGUCCUCCUUGGUACAGGGGACAGCACAGAUGGGGAAACUGAGGCCCAUGGUCAGGGCAUGUAGGAGCGAGUAAAUGGCAAAGCUGUGAACUGUUGGGACCACCAGAGGUUCUGGUUGUGCCUGCGUCCGUGGGGCUCACGAAGCCAGUGUCAUCCACAAAGAAUGCAUUCUUUCCUGGGUACUGUUCUGUUGCCGUGCAGCAUGCUUUGGUGAGAACUAAUAUGUUAGCAACUGAGCUGGGUGUGGUGGAGCACACCUAUAAUCCCAGCAUUCAAGAGGCUGAGGCAGGAGAAUGGACAUGGAGGCCAGCCUGGGCUACAUACACAGUGAGACUCUGUCUCAAAAAACAAAACAAAAUUUGAAAUGUCAGUGUCUAGAGACAUGGGGUCAUGUCGCCCACAGAGUGACAGGCUGCCAUUGCUGGUGACAACCUGCCAGUCUAGCCACUCUCUUCUGGGACUGACAUGUAGGGCACUGUCCCCUCCUGCUGUCCCUGUGCCCAGUGGGACUCAG
Heterocephalus glaber (naked mole-rat) is the source of this 674-nucleotide long non-coding RNA. The record is from Ensembl. Lineage: Eukaryota; Metazoa; Chordata; Mammalia; Rodentia; Bathyergidae.